This 380-nucleotide ribosomal RNA is filed under the name uncultured eukaryote. Its description in RNAcentral is "partial 18S ribosomal RNA". It matches the Rfam family "Eukaryotic small subunit ribosomal RNA", at positions 592 to 976 of the family's 1831-position model. The record is from RNAcentral.
CAAUAGCGUAUAUUAAAGUUGUUGCGGUUAAAAAGCUCGUAGUUGGAUUUCUGCUGAGAACGACCGGUCCGCCCUUUGGGUGUGUAUCUGGCUCUUUCUUGGCAUCUUCUUGGUGAACGUUGCUGCACUUGACUGUGUGGAGCGCUACCCAGGACUUUUACUUUGAGGAAAUUAGAGUGUUUCAAGCAGGCAUACGCCUUGAAUACAUUAGCAUGGAAUAAUAAGAUAGGACCUCGGUACUAUUUUGUUGGUUUUGAGGACUGAGGUAAUGAUUAAUAGGGAUAGUUGGGGGCAUUCGUACUUAACUGUCAGAGGUGAAAUUCUUGGAUUUGUUAAAGACGAACUACUGCGAAAGCAUUUGCCAAGGAUGUUUUCAUUGA